AGUGAACGCUGGCGGUAGGCCUAACACAUGCAAGUCGAACGGCAGCACAGUAAGAGCUUGCUCUUACGGGUGGCGAGUGGCGGACGGGUGAGGAAUACAUCGGAAUCUACUUUUUCGUGGGGGAUAACGUAGGGAAACUUACGCUAAUACCGCAUACGACCUACGGGUGAAAGCAGGGGAUCUUCGGACCUUGCGCGAUCGAAUGAGCCGAUGUCGGAUUAGCUAGUUGGCGGGGUAAAGGCCCACCAAGGCGACGAUCCGUAGCUGGUCUGAGAGGAUGAUCAGCCACACUGGAACUGAGACACGGUCCAGACUCCUACGGGAGGCAGCAGUGGGGAAUAUUGGACAAUGGGCGCAAGCCUGAUCCAGCCAUACCGCGUGGGUGAAGAAGGCCUUCGGGUUGUAAAGCCCUUUUGUUGGGAAAGAAAAGCAGCAGGUUAAUACCCCGCUGUUCUGACGGUACCCAAAGAAUAAGCACCGGCUAACUUCGCG
Molecule: ribosomal RNA, 492 nt
Filed under: uncultured bacterium
Lineage: Bacteria
Description: partial 16S ribosomal RNA
Rfam family: Bacterial small subunit ribosomal RNA
Source: RNAcentral